Molecule: long non-coding RNA, 1085 nt
Organism: Seriola aureovittata
Lineage: Eukaryota; Metazoa; Chordata; Actinopteri; Carangiformes; Carangidae
Exons: 4
Source: RefSeq, a predicted model, not a curated record
UUUAACAUAGCCUGCUUUAUGCUGAGAGAUGUGUAUUAGUGAGCAGAUGUUUUUAAAAACAAAACAGUUGUUGGCUGUAGCUAUAUGUAUCCAGGCUCAAAUUAGGGUCAAAAUGAUUUUCAGCUUGUAAAGUGAUGUUCACAAUAAUUCCAAUGUUUGUAGUUUUAAAUCAAACUUUGUAAACCUGUAAAAUAAAUCUGAAUGAGAAAUUCAAGUUUUUGCAUGUGAAAACAAAUAGUGCUUGUGGCAAAGAGAUUUGUAUUUGUUCAGACAGUGUGAAUCAAAACUGAACAAAUGAUCAGUGGUGAGGUUCAACUUAACGAGUUUCCUCCCUCCCAGAGACCAGGAGAGGCAGCGACGGGGGAGAGCACCUCCUGUCCUGGGAAGGAGAGUCUCAGGAGCUGUCUUCUUGGACUGAACUCGGGUUAGCCGCCUGGUGGAGGCCGUUUGCAACCGGCUCUGCGUCUUCACCCGGUGGCCAUGUGGUCCAGAGGGACCGCGAGGACUCGCUGGUCAUUCAGUCUCAAGGAUCAUGUGGCAUCAGAGAGGCGGUGCUGGCCGGCCCCAGGUUCAUGGCUCAGACCAACAUCCAGCUCUUUGAAUUGAAGGGGGGGGGCGGCUGCCUGGAGGAAAAACCCUCCGGCUGCCAACGUCAUACAUCUGCAGCAAGUGUGUCCAACCCAGAAGGAUUGACACUGACCUCACUCACAUCGCAGCUCCUGAGGGAAAUCUGUGUCUUUAGCUUCUUAAUGCUGCACUAUGUUCUCGGACCGAGUCUCUGCUGUUUGCUGCUGAGGAGGUCGAGGACAGAGGCUGCGGCCCAACAAGUUUAUAUAUUCAAAGAUGACAAAGACGCUCACGUCAUGUGCUGUGGUUCAGUGGAUGGAUGGACAUCGGCUGAGAAAACAAUAUAUGAAUAGACGGAUGUGUUCACCUCACACACUCUUUAGUGAGAACUGAACACUGACAGUUCAGAUGGUGAAGCAGGUGUCAGUGUAGUACAGCUCAUGUUCAUUAGUUUUAUUCACAACUUCAUUGUUGUCAUUGAAAAGGUGUUUAAUAAAUAAACCUGUGAUUAAAUUGUA